UUUAUGGAGAGUUUGAUCCUGGCUCAGGAUGAACGCUGGCGGCGUGCCUAAUACAUGCAAGUCGAGCGAACGGACGAGAAGCUUGCUUCUCUGAUGUUAGCGGCGGACGGGUGAGUAACACGUGGAUAACCUACCUAUAAGACUGGGAUAACUUCGGGAAACCGGAGCUAAUACCGGAUAAUAUUUUGAACCGCAUGGUUCAAAAGUGAAAGACGGUCUUGCUGUCACUUAUAGAUGGAUCCGCGCUGCAUUAGCUAGUUGGUAAGGUAACGGCUUACCAAGGCAACGAUGCAUAGCCGACCUGAGAGGGUGAUCGGCCACACUGGAACUGAGACACGGUCCAGACUCCUACGGGAGGCAGCAGUAGGGAAUCUUCCGCAAUGGGCGAAAGCCUGACGGAGCAACGCCGCGUGAGUGAUGAAGGUCUUCGGAUCGUAAAACUCUGUUAUUAGGGAAGAACAUAUGUGUAAGUAACUGUGCACAUCUUGACGGUACCUAAUCAGAAAGCCACGGCUAACUACGUGCCAGCAGCCGCGGUAAUACGUAGGUGGCAAGCGUUAUCCGGAAUUAUUGGGCGUAAAGCGCGCGUAGGCGGUUUUUUAAGUCUGAUGUGAAAGCCCACGGCUCAACCGUGGAGGGUCAUUGGAAACUGGAAAACUUGAGUGCAGAAGAGGAAAGUGGAAUUCCAUGUGUAGCGGUGAAAUGCGCAGAGAUAUGGAGGAACACCAGUGGCGAAGGCGACUUUCUGGUCUGUAACUGACGCUGAUGUGCGAAAGCGUGGGGAUCAAACAGGAUUAGAUACCCUGGUAGUCCACGCCGUAAACGAUGAGUGCUAAGUGUUAGGGGGUUUCCGCCCCUUAGUCUUUGCGACUAACGCAUUAAGCACUCCGCCUGGGGAGUACGACCGCAAGGUUGAAACUCAAAGGAAUUGACGGGGACCCGCACAAGCGGUGGAGCAUGUGGUUUAAUUCGAAGCAACGCGAAGAACCUUACCAAAUCUUGACAUCCUUUGACAACUCUAGAGAUAGAGCCUUCCCCUUCGGGGGACAAAGUGACAGGUGGUGCAUGGUUGUCGUCAGCUCGUGUCGUGAGAUGUUGGGUUAAGUCCCGCAACGAGCGCAACCCUUAAGCUUAGUUGCCAUCAUUAAGUUGGGCACUCUAAGUUGACUGCCGGUGACAAACCGGAGGAAGGUGGGGAUGACGUCAAAUCAUCAUGCCCCUUAUGAUUUGGGCUACACACGUGCUACAAUGGACAAUACAAAGGGCAGCGAAACCGCGAGGUCAAGCAAAUCCCAUAAAGUUGUUCUCAGUUCGGAUUGUAGUCUGCAACUCGACUACAUGAAGCUGGAAUCGCUAGUAAUCGUAGAUCAGCAUGCUACGGUGAAUACGUUCCCGGGUCUUGUACACACCGCCCGUCACACCACGAGAGUUUGUAACACCCGAAGCCGGUGGAGUAACCUUUUAGGAGCUAGCCGUCGAAGGUGGGACAAAUGAUUGGGGUGAAGUCGUAACAAGGUAGCCGUAUCGGAAGGUGCGGCUGGAUCACCUCCUUU
Molecule: ribosomal RNA, 1553 nt
Filed under: Staphylococcus aureus
Lineage: Bacteria; Bacillati; Bacillota; Bacilli; Caryophanales; Staphylococcaceae
Description: 16S ribosomal RNA
Rfam family: Bacterial small subunit ribosomal RNA
Source: RNAcentral